CAAGAGGUAGUUUAAUUAAAAUUUUAAUUUUGGAGAUUAAAGAAAAAGAGGUUCUUUCUUCUUGA
Molecule: transfer RNA, 65 nt
Filed under: Silvanidae sp. KM-2017
Lineage: Eukaryota; Metazoa; Arthropoda; Insecta; Coleoptera; Silvanidae
Description: tRNA-Pro
Source: RNAcentral